ACGAGUUUCGAGUCCUGGCUACAGGACAACGCUGGACGGCGUGCUUAACACAUGCAAGUCGAACGAUGAAGCCCAGCUUGCUGGGUGGAGUUAGUGGCGAACGGGUGAGUAACACGUGAGUAACCUGCCCUUGACUUCGGGAUAACUCCGGGAAACCGGGGCUAAUACCGGAUAUGAGCUACCUUCGCAUCGGGGGUGGUUGGAAAGUUUUUCGGUCAGGGAUGGGCUCGCGGCCUAUCAGCUUGUUGGUCGGGGUGAUGGCCUACCAAGGCGACGACGGGUAGCCGGCCUGAGAGGGCGACCGGCCGCACUGGGACUGAGACACGGCCCAGACUCCUACGGGAGGCAGCAGUGGGGAAUAUUGCACAAUGGGCGCAAGCCUGAUGCAGCGACGCCGCGUGAGGGAUGAAGGCCUUCGGGUUGUAAACCUCUUUCAGCAGGGAAGAAGCGCAAGUGACGGUACCUGCAGAAGAAGCGCCGGCUAACUACGUG
This 492-nucleotide ribosomal RNA is filed under the name uncultured Cellulosimicrobium sp. RNAcentral's name for it is "bacterial SSU rRNA". It matches the Rfam family "Bacterial small subunit ribosomal RNA", at positions 1 to 507 of the family's 1533-position model. The record is from RNAcentral. Lineage: Bacteria; Bacillati; Actinomycetota; Actinomycetes; Micrococcales; Promicromonosporaceae.